AGCAGCCGCGGUAAUUCCAGCUCCAAUAGCGUAUAUUAAAGUUGUUGCAGUUAAAAAGCUCGUAGUUGAAUUUCGGGAUCAAUAUGCUGGUCGUGCCUUUGGUACGUACUGGUAUUAUUGGUUUCUCCUUUCUGAUGAAUCACGAUGUCAUUAAUUUGGUGUCAUGGGGAGUCAGGACUGUUACUUUGAAAAAUUAGAGUGUUUAAAGCAGGCUUACGCUUGAAUACAUUAGCAUGGAAUAAUGAAAUAGGACGUUUAAUUCUAUUUUGUUGGUUUCUAGGAUUGACGUAAUGAUUAAUAGGGAUAGUUGGGGGCAUUAGUAUUCAAUUGUCAGAGGUGAAAUUCUUGGAUUUAUUGAAGACUAACUACUGCGAAAGCAUUUGCCAAGGAUGUUUUCAUUAAUCAAGAACGAAAGUUAGGGGAUCGAAGACGAUCAGAUACCGUCGUAGU
RNAcentral lists this ribosomal RNA (450 nucleotides) under uncultured Glomus. Its description in RNAcentral is "SSU rRNA". It matches the Rfam family "Eukaryotic small subunit ribosomal RNA", at positions 569 to 1024 of the family's 1831-position model. The record is from RNAcentral. Lineage: Eukaryota; Fungi; Glomeromycota; Glomeromycetes; Glomerales; Glomeraceae.